This is a non-coding RNA of Salmo salar (Atlantic salmon), 54 nucleotides long. Lineage: Eukaryota; Metazoa; Chordata; Actinopteri; Salmoniformes; Salmonidae. The record is from Rfam.
AUAGAGUACAAUUGUAAGUCGCUCUGGAUAAGAGCGUCUGCUAAAUGACGUAAA